This 253-nucleotide ribosomal RNA is filed under the name uncultured bacterium. RNAcentral describes it as "partial 16S ribosomal RNA". It matches the Rfam family "Bacterial small subunit ribosomal RNA", at positions 524 to 776 of the family's 1533-position model. The record is from RNAcentral.
GACAGAGGCCUCGAGCGUUAGGCGGAAUCACUGGGCUUAAAGCGUGUGUAGGCGGGCCCGUAAGUGUCUUGUGAAAUCCCACGGCUCAACCGUGGAACUGCUGGGCAUACUGCGGGUCUUGGUCCAACUAGGGGCAGCCGGAACAAGCGGUGGAGCGGUGAAAUGCGUAGAUAUCGGGAGGAACACCAGUGGCGAAGGCGACUACCUGGCCUGUUCUUGACGCUGAGGCGCGAAAGCUAGGGGAGCAAACGGG